Molecule: ribosomal RNA, 732 nt
Filed under: uncultured Acidobacteriota bacterium
Lineage: Bacteria; Pseudomonadati; Acidobacteriota
Description: bacterial SSU rRNA
Rfam family: Bacterial small subunit ribosomal RNA
Source: RNAcentral
GUCGAACGCGCAGCAUUCUGUAGCAAUACAGGGUGUGGGCGCGUGGCGAACGGGUGCGUAACACGUGGAUAACCUUCCUUCAGGUGGGGAAUAACCCAGUGAAAAUUGGGCUAAUACCGCAUAACAUGACGAUGCCACAUGGUGUUGUCUUCAAAGCCGCAAGGCGCCAGAAGAGGGAUCCGCGGCCGAUUAGCUUGUUGGCGAGGUAAUGGCUCACCAAGGCAUUGAUCGGUAGCCGGACUGAGAGGUUGGCCGGCCACACUGGAACUGAGACACGGUCCAGACUCCUACGGGAGGCAGCAGUGGGGAAUCUUGCACAAUGGACGAAAGUCUGAUGCAGCAACGCCGCGUGGGGGAUGAAGCUUUUCGGAGUGUAAACCCCUUUCGACCCGGAAGAAUGCCCGCAAGGGUUUGACGGUACGGGUAUAAGAAGCCCCGGCUAACUACGUGCCAGCAGCCGCGGUAAUACGUAGGGGGCCAGCGUUGCUCGGAAUUACUGGGCGUAAAGGGUCCGUAGGCGGUGUGGCAAGUCGGGAGUGAAAUCUCUGGGCUUAACUCAGAGGCUGCUUCCGAAACUGCCAUGCUAGAGUGUGAGAGAGGCGAGUGGAAUUACGGGUGUAGCGGUGAAAUGCGUAGAUAUCCGUAGGAACAUCCGAGGCGAAGGCGGCUCGCUGGAUCACAACUGACGCUGAGGGACGAAAGCUAGGGGAGCAAACAGGAUUAGAUACCCUG